This 236-nucleotide ribosomal RNA is filed under the name uncultured bacterium. RNAcentral's name for it is "partial 16S ribosomal RNA". It matches the Rfam family "Bacterial small subunit ribosomal RNA", at positions 332 to 566 of the family's 1533-position model. The record is from RNAcentral.
UGGAGCCUACAGGGCGCAGCAGUGAGGAAUAUUGGUCAAUGGGAGAGAUCCUGAACCAGCCAAGCCGCGUGAGGGAAGACGGCCCUAUGGGUUGUAAACCUCUUUUGUCGGAGAACAAAACCCGGGACGAGUCCCGGACUGCGUGUAUCCGAAGAAAAAGCAUCGGCUAACUCCGUGCCAGCAGCCGCGGUAAUACGGAGGAUGCGAGCGUUAUCCGGAUUUAUUGGGUUUAAAGU